Molecule: ribosomal RNA, 478 nt
Filed under: uncultured bacterium
Lineage: Bacteria
Description: partial 16S ribosomal RNA
Rfam family: Bacterial small subunit ribosomal RNA
Source: RNAcentral
GACGAACGCUGGCGGCGUGCUUAACACAUGCAAGUCGAACGGGAUUUAGUAGACAGAAGCCUCGGCUAAAGAUUACUAAUGAGAGUGGCGAACGGGUGAGUAACGCGUGAGCAACCUGCCUAUGACAGUGGGAUAGCCUCGUGAAACCGGGAUUAAUACCGCAUAAAAUCGUAGAAACACAUGUUUUAACGGUCAAAGAUUUAUCGGUCAUAGAUGGGCUCGCGUCUGAUUAGCUAGUUGGUGAGAUAACAGCCCACCAAGGCGACGAUCAGUAGCCGGUCUGAGAGGAUGAACGGCCACAUUGGAACUGAGACACGGUCCAAACUCCUACGGGAGGCAGCAGUGGGGAAUAUUGCACAAUGGGGGAAACCCUGAUGCAGCGACGCCGCGUGAACGAAGAAGGUAUUCGUAUCGUAAAGUUCUGUCCUAUGGGAAGAUAAUGACAGUACCAGAGAAGAAAGCUCCGGCUAAAUACGUG